GUUAGCGUAGCUUAAAUGAAAGUAUAACACUGAAGAUGUUAAGAUGGGCCCUAGAAAUCCCCGCAAGCA
Molecule: transfer RNA, 69 nt
Filed under: Carinotetraodon travancoricus
Lineage: Eukaryota; Metazoa; Chordata; Actinopteri; Tetraodontiformes; Tetraodontidae
Description: tRNA-Phe
Rfam family: tRNA
About the family: Transfer RNA (tRNA) molecules are approximately 80 nucleotides in length. Their secondary structure includes four short double-helical elements and three loops (D, anti-codon, and T loops). Further hydrogen bonds mediate the characteristic L-shaped molecular structure. tRNAs have two regions of fundamental functional importance: the anti-codon, which is responsible for specific mRNA codon recognition, and the 3' end, to which the tRNAs corresponding amino acid is attached (by aminoacyl-tRNA synthetases). tRNAs cope with the degeneracy of the genetic code in two manners: having more than one tRNA (with a specific anti-codon) for a particular amino acid; and 'wobble' base-pairing, i.e. permitting non-standard base-pairing at the 3rd anti-codon position.
Source: RNAcentral